CUUUAUCUUAGUGUUCUUGCUAUAAAAAUUCUGUUGCUUUUUAAACUAUUGAAUGUCUCUGUCCAGGGGAGAGUCACAAAUGAGAUAGUAGACUAUGAAGGGAAGUACUUUUUUGAGGGAAUGAAUCUACCAUGGAAGCCUUCCUCAAUGUCAGGACCAGAUCAAGCCCCCACUGUUACAGGUUGAAAUUACAUGCUGAGGUGAUGUGUAUCUCUAAUCACAGCAAGGUCCAUGUGUGCCACCAAACUGAGUUUCAUAAGAAAUCUGGGACUGUCUGUCUUGUUCACCACUAAAACCUGAGCUCACAGCGUAAGACUUGGCAGAGAGUAAGUGUUGCACAAAUUUUCAUUAAACUGUUGAAUAAUCUGGAGUGAAGGAGGAGAUAACUCUAACAGCAGGAGGGUUCUGGUAUCAAGGGGUGGGGGUAGAUAAUGAAUGGACAAAUGUGGGAAAUGGCUGCAAGUAGUUCUUCAAAUAGUUGAUUGGAGCAGUGAUGCUUGAAUAUUGUUGUGGAACCCAUUGGAUCUUUGUGCUUUGACUAAAUUUUAAGUAGACGUUGAGCUGGGAACCCAUUCUGGGAUAGUAGUAAUAUGAACAUAAUGAACAAUGGGGAAAAACACCACCUCUGCAUGUGGUUAGCACUAUUUGCAUCCACCUGGAUGCUCUUUACAUAAUUCUUGCUUAUCGCCUCUCCAUAUUCCCUAGACAUGAACUGAAUGUAGUUCUGACUCACUACAGAGGGGGGCUCUGUUACCAUGGUGAGGACAGGGCUUUGUAAAGUUCUGUGCCUGUCUGUGCUGCACUGGGUUAGAGGUUCCCUACAGAACCAGCAGGCUUGCUUGAAGAAAACAAAUAAGUUAAAAAUAACAAGCGGGGAAUCCUGGCACAUUUUUGGCACUCCAGAAAGAGGGAUAAUGUCAUUAGGGUCACUGUCUCAAUUUAUCUUCUCCAGAGAAGGACACAAGGAAACUGUAAGCAAGGCUUAUCUAAAUCUCUGCAUGACCCAAGCACCAGAAGUUGGUAGAAGGCAAUUAGCUUUGCAAAUUGACAUCAGUGGGGGAAAAAAAAAAACUUUUGUAAGAUAGAUUCAUAGGCCAGAAGGAGACCUUUAAGGCCAGUGACCUAGCUUUCUUCUUUUACAGAUGAGGAAACAGACCUAGAGUGAGUUGACUUGUUCAAGGUGACACCAUUAACUACUGAUAGAGCUGUGAUAUGAUUACUUAAACCUCUGCUCAAACUUGUAUUAGCCUACAAACCAUAUAAGGAUAUUAAAAAUGUAGAUGCUGAUUCAGGAGAUCAGAGACCUAGCCUGAGAAUCUGCAUUCUCACAUUGCACUUUUGUGCACUUUGGUGAUACGUUGACAGUCUUGUUUCCUGGGCAAUACUGAUUUCUUAGGUAGCAGGGACCUAAUUCUAACCCAUUCCGGACUACCUCUUUCAGACAAUAUGCUAGGUUAAGGCAAGGAAGAAGGUUCUAGAUCAGUCAUACACAAGCUCUCACUGGAUCAUGCUGAGACUGCUCACUAAAUAGGGGAUGUACUAUAAGGUCAGGUUUAUGGGCUCUGACUGUUUAGAUCUUGCCUUCACCAGAUCCUGUCACUGUUUUCUUCUCCCAUGGGGCGGGGUCCUGGAAAGAUGGGAUACCUGUUACUUAUGUAAAGAAAAAUUGUGAAAGACUCACAAUGGAUUGUGUGAAUCUCUGGAGUCUCCUCUCAUUUUCUUUGAGCUGCCUUUUUUUUUUUUUAAAUCUAAAUUGUGGAACUCUUAAGUGUACUACAAAUGAUUCUUGUCUAUAAAAAUGCAAAUGAAAAAAAUGUAAAUAAUAUGUAUCUCAUGGAAUGCGACUAUUGCCAGGUGGAUAUUGACCAUAUCUAUCUGUAAAUUCAUUUCAGCAUUCCUGAUGGUCUAUGUGUUUCUUUGAGUUCUCCUUUGAAUUGAUUGUAACAUCAUAUUGUGUCACUAAUAAGUAUUUGACACAUGCUUAUUUUAUCUGUGAACAAGAAGUAUAAUUUUUAUCCUUUCAAAAUUAUUGUUCUUAAAAAAUCACUUAAUUUAAAUAUCUUCUCCAAAAGUGGGGAGAUUGAA
Vulpes vulpes (red fox) is the source of this 2085-nucleotide long non-coding RNA. Lineage: Eukaryota; Metazoa; Chordata; Mammalia; Carnivora; Canidae. The record is from Ensembl.